UACGAAUGGAGCGAGCGUUGUUCGGAAUCACUGGGCGUAAAGCGUAUGUAGGCCGACUGGAAAGUCAGGAGUGAAAGCCUGGGGCUCAACCCUAGAAUUGCUUUUGAAACUCCCAGUCUAGAAUCCCGGAGAGGCAAGGGGAAUUCCGAGUGUAGAGGUGAAAUUCGCAGAUAUUCGGAGGAACACCAGUGGCGUAAGCGCCUUGCUGGACGGGUGUUGACGCUGAGAUACGAAAGCGUGGGGAGCAAACGGG
Molecule: ribosomal RNA, 253 nt
Filed under: uncultured bacterium
Lineage: Bacteria
Description: partial 16S ribosomal RNA
Rfam family: Bacterial small subunit ribosomal RNA
Source: RNAcentral